UACAGAGGGUGCGAGCGUUAAUCGGAAUUACUGGGCGUAAAGCGUGCGUAGACGGUUCUGUAAGUCGGAUGUGAAAUCCCCGGGCUCAACCUGGGAAUUGCAUUCGAGACUGCAAAGCUUGGGUGCGGAAGAGGGAAGCGGAAUUUCCGGUGUAGCGGUGAAAUGCGUAGAUAUCGGAAGGAACAUCAGUGGCGAAAGCGGCUUCCUGGUCCAGCACCGACGUUCAGGCACGAAAGCGUGGGGAGCGAACAGG
This 253-nucleotide ribosomal RNA is filed under the name uncultured bacterium. Its description in RNAcentral is "partial 16S ribosomal RNA". It matches the Rfam family "Bacterial small subunit ribosomal RNA", at positions 524 to 776 of the family's 1533-position model. The record is from RNAcentral.